AUUGAACGCUGGCGGCAUGCCUUACACAUGCAAGUCGAACGGCAGCACGGGAGCAAUCCUGGUGGCGAGUGGCGAACGGGUGAGUAAUGUAUCGGAACGUACCUUUCAGUGGGGGAUAACGUAGCGAAAGUUACGCUAAUACCGCAUAUUCUGUGAGCAGGAAAGCAGGGGAUCGCAAGACCUUGCGCUGAUUGAGCGGCCGAUAUCAGAUUAGCUAGUUGGUGAGGUAAAGGCUCACCAAGGCGACGAUCUGUAGCGGGUCUGAGAGGAUGAUCCGCCACACUGGAACUGAGACACGGUCCAGACUCCUACGGGAGGCAGCAGUGGGGAAUUUUGGACAAUGGGCGCAAGCCUGAUCCAGCCAUGCCGCGUGAGUGAAG
This 380-nucleotide ribosomal RNA is filed under the name uncultured bacterium. RNAcentral's name for it is "bacterial SSU rRNA". It matches the Rfam family "Bacterial small subunit ribosomal RNA", at positions 30 to 410 of the family's 1533-position model. The record is from RNAcentral.